This 287-nucleotide long non-coding RNA is filed under the name Vigna radiata. Its description in RNAcentral is "long non-coding RNA (VRAD_LNC012681)". The record is from RNAcentral. Lineage: Eukaryota; Viridiplantae; Streptophyta; Magnoliopsida; Fabales; Fabaceae.
GAAGCAAAUGCACUAUAAUGGUUGCGGUUUUUACAACAAGGAAUUUAUAGAAGACCUCCACAUCAAAAAUAUAAAUCUCCUCUCUAACCCAAAACCAAAAUAUAGCUGCACAACACAAUCAGACUUGCAGCAAGAAUCCCCUAUUCUGCAAUCUGCAACACCACUUUGAACAAUCCUCAAAGUGAACUAUCCCCCUAUAUCACAACAGGUCCAAUUCCAGCAGUCUUCACAGGAUGCCAAGCCUCUCAGAAAAUUCUAGCAGUCUUCACAGGAUGUCAAGCCUACAC